RNAcentral lists this ribosomal RNA (956 nucleotides) under uncultured bacterium. Its description in RNAcentral is "bacterial SSU rRNA". It matches the Rfam family "Bacterial small subunit ribosomal RNA", at positions 10 to 999 of the family's 1533-position model. The record is from RNAcentral.
AGUUUGACCUGGCUCAGGAUGAACGCUGGCGACGUGCCUAACACAUGCAAGUCGAACGGUCGCAAGACAGUGGCGGACGGGUGAGGAACACGUAGCUGACCUGCCCCAGAGUGCGGGAUAACGUCACGAAAGCGACGCUAAUACCGCAUAACCUCGCGAGGAUUAGAAGCUGGCGAGCAAAGGUUAACUGCUCUGGGAGGGGGCUGCGGCCCAUCAGGUAGUUGGUGCGGUAACGGCGCACCAAGCCAACGACGGGUCGGGGGUCUGAGAGGACGACCCCCCACACUGGGACUGAGACACGGCCCAGACUCCUACGGGAGGCAGCAGUGAGGGAUAUUGCGCAGUGGGGGAAACCCUGACGCAGCGACGUCGCGUGGGCGAAGAAGGCCUUCGGGUUGUAAAGCCCUUUUCUGGGUGACGAGAGAGGACGGUAGCCCAGGAAUAAGUCUCGGCUAACUACGUGCCAGCAGCCGCGGUAAAACGUAGGAGGCGAGCGUUAUCCGGAGUUACUGGGCGUAAAGCGCGCGCAGGCGGUUGGAUAAGUGGAUUGUCAAAGCACCAGGCUAAACCUGGGGAAGGCAGUUCAGACUGUCUGGCUGGAGCCAUCUAGAGGGACGCGGAAUUCGGGGUGUAGCGGUGAAAUGUGUAGAGAUCCCGAGGAACACCGGUGGCGAAAGCGCUCUGCUAGGCCGCAACUGACACUGAGGGACGAAAGCUAGGGGAGCGAAUGGGAUUAGAUACCCCAGUAGUCCUAGCCGUAAACGAUGGAUACUAGGCGUUGAGAGUAUCGACCCUCUCAGUGCCGUAGCUAACGCGUUUAAGUAUCCCGCCUGGGGAGUACGCACGCAAGUGUGAAACUCNAAGGAAUUGACGGGGNCCGCACAAGCGGUGGAGUAUGUGGUUUAAUUCGAUGCAACGCGAAGAACCUUACCAGGGCUUGACAUGUCUGGAACUUC